RNAcentral lists this unclassified non-coding RNA (200 nucleotides) under Sebacina sp. RNAcentral describes it as "partial internal transcribed spacer 2". The record is from RNAcentral. Lineage: Eukaryota; Fungi; Basidiomycota; Agaricomycetes; Sebacinales; Sebacinaceae.
UUAAGUUCAGCGGGUAGUCCUACUCGAUUUGAGGUCAAGUUGUCAGAGAGUGUCCUAAGACAGUUAGAAGCCCAGAGCUCCCAAUCGGCCACCCUCUUUCGAGGCGCCGGCGAAGACACUUAUCACGCCGUACUAUGUCCAAUCAAGAGGUGCAACUAACAUAUUUCAGGUGAGCCACAGUCAAGCAGCAACACCCAAGU